AUCUACCUUCAGGACGGGGACAACAGCUGGAAACGGCUGCUAAUACCCGAUAUGCCGAAAGGUGAAACGUUGUUUCGCCUGGAGAGGAGCUCGCGUCCGAUUAGCUAGUUGGUGGGGUAAAAGCUUACCAAGGCGACGAUCGGUAGCUGGUCUGAGAGGAUGAGCAGCCACACUGGAACUGAGACACGGUCCAGACUCCUACGGGAGGCAGCAGUGGGGAAUUUUCCGCAAUGGGCGAAAGCCUGACGGAGCAACGCCGCGUGGGGGAAGAAGGUUUUUGGAUUGUAAACCCCUUUUCUCAAGGAAGAACAAAAUGACGGUACUUGAGGAAUCAGCCUCGGCUAACUCCGUGCCAGCAGCCGCGGUAAUACGGAGGAGGCAAGCGUUAUCCGGAAUUAUUGGGCGUAAAGCGUUCGUAGGCGGCUGUUCAAGUCUGCUGUCAAAGACCGAGGCUCAACCUCGGGUCGGCAGUGGAAACUGAAUAGCUAGAGGUCGGUAGGGGCAGAGGGAAUUCCCAGUGUAGCGGUGAAAUGCGUAGAUAUUGGGAAGAACACCGGUGGCGAAAGCGCUCUGCUGGGCCGAACCUGACGCUGAGGGACGAAAGCUAGGGGAGCGAAUG
This 619-nucleotide ribosomal RNA is filed under the name Phormidium kuetzingianum GSP218-2. Its description in RNAcentral is "bacterial SSU rRNA". It matches the Rfam family "Bacterial small subunit ribosomal RNA", at positions 124 to 774 of the family's 1533-position model. The record is from RNAcentral. Lineage: Bacteria; Bacillati; Cyanobacteriota; Cyanophyceae; Oscillatoriales; Oscillatoriaceae. RNAcentral also lists the same sequence under 1 other name.